This 253-nucleotide ribosomal RNA is filed under the name uncultured bacterium. RNAcentral's name for it is "partial 16S ribosomal RNA". It matches the Rfam family "Bacterial small subunit ribosomal RNA", at positions 524 to 776 of the family's 1533-position model. The record is from RNAcentral.
UACGUAGGGGGCUAGCGUUGUCCGGAAUCAUUGGGCGUAAAGCGCGCGUAGGCGGCCCGGUAAGUCCACUGUGAAAGUCAAAGGCUCAACCUUUGAAUGUCAGCGGAUACUGCCAGGCUAGAGUCCGGAAGAGGCGAGUGGAACUCCUGGUGUAGCGGUGGAAUGCGCAGAUAUCAGGAAGAACACCAACGGCGAAGGCAGCUCGCUGGGACGGAACUGACGCUGAGGCGCGAAAGCGUGGGGAGCGAACAGG